Molecule: non-coding RNA, 139 nt
Organism: Hordeum vulgare subsp. vulgare (domesticated barley)
Lineage: Eukaryota; Viridiplantae; Streptophyta; Magnoliopsida; Poales; Poaceae
Source: Rfam
CCGAUCGACGAUGAUGAACUGAUCUCCUACAUCAUCGUCGGGCUGGACAUGGAAUACCAGCCCCUUGUCUGUGCCAACUACGCCCGCAUCAACACCAUCAGCCUCGAUGACCUCUUCGCUUAGAUGAGCAACUUUCAUC